Molecule: ribosomal RNA, 465 nt
Filed under: uncultured Glomus
Lineage: Eukaryota; Fungi; Glomeromycota; Glomeromycetes; Glomerales; Glomeraceae
Description: SSU rRNA
Rfam family: Eukaryotic small subunit ribosomal RNA
Source: RNAcentral
UUCCAGCUCCAAUAGCGUAUAUUAAAGUUGUUGCAGUUAAAAAGCUCGUAGUUGAAUUUCGGGACCAAUAUGUCGGUCGUACUUUGUACGUACUAGCAUUAUUGGUUUCUCCCUUCUGAAGAACCACGAUGUCAUUAAUUUGGUGUCGUGGGGAAUCAGGACUGUUACUUUGAAAAAAUUAGAGUGUUUAAAGCAGGCUCGCGCUUGAAUACAUUAGCAUGAAUAAUGAAAUAGGACGUUUGAUUCUAUUUUGUUGGUUUCUAGGAUCGACGUAAUGAUUAAUAGGGAUAGUUGGGGGCAUUAGUAUUCAAUUGUCAGAGGUGAAAUUCUUGGAUUUAUUGAAGACUAACUACUGCGAAAGCAUUUGCCAAGGAUGUUUUCAUUAAUCAAGAACGAAAGUUAGGGGAUCGAAGACGAUCAGAUACCGUCGUAGUCUUAACCAUAAACUAUGCGACUAGGGAUCGG